UACUUCUUUUCCUUAUGUCCUCGAUCACUAGGCUGACAUGGUUAAAUAAAUAUAUUGGUUGAGUAUUUUAUUUCUUGCAUUUCUACCCCUGCCUACUACUAAGGACUUGAUAACUAUCUGAUGACCUAGCAACAAACAACAGUCUGCCCAACUUGGAACCAGAACAUCAUAAAAACACUGUGUAAAGACAAUAAAACGAUCCAUCAACCACCACACCUUUAUUGAGUGCCAUGAAACCAUGAGAAGUUGAGAUUACUACUUGUAAGCUUAUCCACCAAGAUGCAUUUCAACAGAGCUGGAGAAAGGAAAUGACCAAAAGGUAUUGAUGUACAUUUUAUUUUUAUGUUUACAUCCUAAAAAAACAUAUAACUUGAUAAUUUGACAGAAGACAUUAUAAGGGGGUGGGAAUCUUUAUCUUAUAUAGGACAUUUUUUCAUUAUCUUUUUAAAACAUACAGAACAUAUAUAAUUACUGUUUUCACAGAUAUAGACACUGGUAUGGGGCUGGAGAUAUGAGGUUUAAAACGUGGUGAAGUGUCCUUUUAAUAUCAGUUCUAUGAAUUCUUUCAGAUUGCACUCCCAACGCCUGACAUCCAGACAUCAGUGUUCCUAGGAAUGUGAUACUGCCGACCUACUGUAGAGGUUAGAGUGUAGGGGCGACAGGUAGCCUAGUGGUUAGAGUGUAGGGGCGGCAGGUAGCCUAGUGGUUAGAGUGUAGGGGCGACAGGUAGCCUAGCGGUUAGAGUGUAGGGGCGACAGG
Molecule: long non-coding RNA, 759 nt
Organism: Oncorhynchus tshawytscha (Chinook salmon)
Lineage: Eukaryota; Metazoa; Chordata; Actinopteri; Salmoniformes; Salmonidae
Source: Ensembl